RNAcentral lists this transfer RNA (65 nucleotides) under Panesthia tryoni tryoni. Its description in RNAcentral is "tRNA-Thr". It matches the Rfam family "tRNA". Rfam says of the family: Transfer RNA (tRNA) molecules are approximately 80 nucleotides in length. Their secondary structure includes four short double-helical elements and three loops (D, anti-codon, and T loops). Lineage: Eukaryota; Metazoa; Arthropoda; Insecta; Blattodea; Blaberidae. The record is from RNAcentral.
GUUUUAAUAAUUUAAUAAUAAAAUAUUGGUUUUGUAAACCAAAAAUAAGNAAAACUUUUAAAACU